CCUACGGGAGGCAGCAGUGGGGAAUAUUGCACAAUGGGGGAAACCCUGAUGCAGCAACGCCGCGUGAAGGAAGAAGUAUUUCGGUAUGUAAACUUCUAUCAGCAGGGAAGAAAAUGACGGUACCUGCCUAAGAAGCCCCGGCUAACUACGUGCCAGCAGCCGCGGUAAUACGUAGGGGGCGAGCGUUAUCCGGAUUUACUGGGGGUAAAGGGAGCGUAGGCGGUUCUGCAAGUCAGAAGUGAAAGCCCGUGGCUCAACCGCGGGACUGCUUUGGAAACUGUUGAACUGGAGUGCUGGAGAGGCAAGCGGAAUUCCUAGUGUAGCGGUGAAAUGCGUAGAUAUUAGGAGGAACACCAGUGGCGAAGGCGGCUUGCUGGACAGUAAAUGACGCUGAGGCUCGAAAGCGUGGGGAGCAAACAGGAUUAGAUACCCUUGUAGUC
This 440-nucleotide ribosomal RNA is filed under the name uncultured bacterium. RNAcentral's name for it is "partial 16S ribosomal RNA". It matches the Rfam family "Bacterial small subunit ribosomal RNA", at positions 338 to 795 of the family's 1533-position model. The record is from RNAcentral.